AUCCAGAUGACGAGUCCCAAACAGGAGGAAACGCGCAUUUUCCUGGAU
RNAcentral lists this non-coding RNA (48 nucleotides) under Trichobilharzia regenti. The record is from RNAcentral. Lineage: Eukaryota; Metazoa; Platyhelminthes; Trematoda; Strigeidida; Schistosomatidae.